Molecule: ribosomal RNA, 161 nt
Filed under: uncultured Methanosaeta sp.
Lineage: Archaea; Methanobacteriati; Methanobacteriota; Methanomicrobia; Methanotrichales; Methanotrichaceae
Description: partial 16S ribosomal RNA
Rfam family: Archaeal small subunit ribosomal RNA
Source: RNAcentral
UACAAUGGUUGGUACAAUGGGUAUCUACCCCGAAAGGGGACCGGGAAUACUCCUAAAACCAAUCUUAGUUCGGAGUUGAGGGCUGCAACCUCGCCCUCAUGAAGCUGGAAUCCGUAGUAAUCGCGUUUCAACAGAACGCGGUGAAUACGUCCCUGCUCCUU